RNAcentral lists this ribosomal RNA (253 nucleotides) under uncultured bacterium. RNAcentral describes it as "partial 16S ribosomal RNA". It matches the Rfam family "Bacterial small subunit ribosomal RNA", at positions 524 to 776 of the family's 1533-position model. The record is from RNAcentral.
UACGUAGGGUCCGAGCGUUGUCCGGAAUUAUUGGGCGUAAAGAGCUUGUAGGCGGUUUGUCGCGUCUGCUGUGAAAUUUCGGGGCUCAACCCCGAACUUGCAGUGGGUACGGGCAGACUAGAGUGUGGUAGGGGAGACUGGAAUUCCUGGUGUAGCGGUGAAAUGCGCAGAUAUCAGGAAGAACACCAAUGGCGAAGGCAGCUCUCUGGGACGGUACUGACGCUGAGACGCGAAAGCGUGGGGAGCGAACAGG